GGCACUGGGGCUCAAGUGGUAGAGUAUUUGCCUAACAAGUACAAGGCCCUGGGUUCAAUACCCAGUAUUGCAA
This 73-nucleotide transfer RNA is filed under the name Dipodomys ordii (Ord's kangaroo rat). It matches the Rfam family "tRNA". From Rfam's summary of the family: Transfer RNA (tRNA) molecules are approximately 80 nucleotides in length. Their secondary structure includes four short double-helical elements and three loops (D, anti-codon, and T loops). Further hydrogen bonds mediate the characteristic L-shaped molecular structure. tRNAs have two regions of fundamental functional importance: the anti-codon, which is responsible for specific mRNA codon recognition, and the 3' end, to which the tRNAs corresponding amino acid is attached (by aminoacyl-tRNA synthetases). tRNAs cope with the degeneracy of the genetic code in two manners: having more than one tRNA (with a specific anti-codon) for a particular amino acid; and 'wobble' base-pairing, i.e. permitting non-standard base-pairing at the 3rd anti-codon position. Lineage: Eukaryota; Metazoa; Chordata; Mammalia; Rodentia; Heteromyidae. The record is from Rfam by way of RNAcentral.